RNAcentral lists this transfer RNA (90 nucleotides) under Thiotrichales bacterium. RNAcentral describes it as "tRNA-Ser". It matches the Rfam family "tRNA". From Rfam's summary of the family: Transfer RNA (tRNA) molecules are approximately 80 nucleotides in length. Their secondary structure includes four short double-helical elements and three loops (D, anti-codon, and T loops). Further hydrogen bonds mediate the characteristic L-shaped molecular structure. tRNAs have two regions of fundamental functional importance: the anti-codon, which is responsible for specific mRNA codon recognition, and the 3' end, to which the tRNAs corresponding amino acid is attached (by aminoacyl-tRNA synthetases). tRNAs cope with the degeneracy of the genetic code in two manners: having more than one tRNA (with a specific anti-codon) for a particular amino acid; and 'wobble' base-pairing, i.e. permitting non-standard base-pairing at the 3rd anti-codon position. The record is from RNAcentral. Lineage: Bacteria; Pseudomonadati; Pseudomonadota; Gammaproteobacteria; Thiotrichales.
GGAGAGGUGCCGGAGCGGCCGAACGGGGCUGACUCGAAAUCAGUUGUCCCCUCCGGGGGACCGGGGGUUCGAAUCCCUCCCUCUCCGCCA